Molecule: ribosomal RNA, 1378 nt
Filed under: uncultured bacterium
Lineage: Bacteria
Description: 16S ribosomal RNA
Rfam family: Bacterial small subunit ribosomal RNA
Source: RNAcentral
UUCGCCCUUAGAGUUUGAUCCUGGCUCAGGCACGAACGCUGGCGGCGCGCCUAACACAUGCAAGUCGAACGAGCGAGAGAGAGCUUGCUUUCUCAAGCGAGUGGCGAACGGGUGAGUAACGCGUGAGGAACCUGCCUCAAAGAGGGGGACAACAGUUGGAAACGACUGCUAAUACCGCAUAAGCCCACAGCUCGGCAUCGAGCAGAGGGAAAAGGAGUGAUCCGCUUUGAGAUGGCCUCGCGUCCGAUUAGCUAGUUGGUGAGGUAACGGCCCACCAAGGCGACGAUCGGUAGCCGGACUGAGAGGUUGAACGGCCACAUUGGGACUGAGACACGGCCCAGACUCCUACGGGAGGCAGCAGUGGGGAAUAUUGCACAAUGGGGGAAACCCUGAUGCAGCGACGCCGCGUGGAGGAAGAAGGUCUUCGGAUUGUAAACUCCUGUUGUUGAGGAAGAUAAUGACGGUACUCAACAAGGAAGUGACGGCUAACUACGUGCCAGCAGCCGCGGUAAAACGUAGGUCACAAGCGUUGUCCGGAAUUACUGGGUGUAAAGGGAGCGCAGGCGGGAAAGCAAGUUGGAAGUGAAAUCCAUGGGCUCAACCCAUGAACUGCUUUCAAAACUGUNUUUCUUGAGUAGUGCAGAGGUAGGCGGAAUUCCCGGUGUAGCGGUGGAAUGCGUAGAUAUCGGGAGGAACACCAGUGGCGAAGGCGGGCUACUGGGCACCAACUGACGCUGAGGAUCGAAAGUGUGGGUACCAAACAGGAUUAGAUACCUGGUAGUCCACACUGUAAACGAUGAUUACUAGGUGCUGGAGGAUUGACCCCUUCAGUGCCGCAGUUAACACAAUAAGUAAUCCACAUGGGGAGUACGACCGCAAGGUUGAAAAUCAAAGGAAUUGACGGGGGCCCGCACAAGCAGUGGAGUAUGUGGUUUGAUUCGACGCAACGUGAAGAACCUUACCAAGUCUUGACAUCCUGCGACGGUGUUGGAAACAGUAGUUUCCUUCGGGACGCAGAGACAGGUGGUGCAUGGUUGUCCGUCAGCUCGCGUCGUGAGAUGUUGGGUUAAGUCCCGCAAUGAGCGCAACCCUUAUGGUCAGUUAAUACGCAAGAGGAAUCUGGCCAGAGUGCCGCUGACACAACGGAGGAAGGUGGGGAUGACGUCAAAUCAUCAUGCCCUUUAUGACUUGGGUUACACACGUACUACAAUGGCGUUAGACAAAGAGAAGAGAGACCGUGAGGUGGAGCAAAAGUCAGAAACAACGUCCCACUUCGGAAUGCAGGAGCAACUCGCUUGCACGAAGUCGGAAUUGCUAGUUAUCUCAGAUCAGCAUGAUGCGGAGAAUAUGUUCCCGGGCCUUGUACACACCGCCCGUC